GAAGCAGAGUAAGGUUAAGGAAAAAUUACAAUGAAAACUUGAAUUCUCGGUGUGUUUUUUUCUUUUUUGAGUGUUGGAAGAUAUGUCAUCUCUGGCUUUUCUUAAGAGUCUUCAGCUCUUCAGCGUUUGUUCACCAUCCUGGUUAUGUGCCUUCCUGAGCUUCUCACCAUGUCUUCUCACAAGACUUUCAGAAUCAAGCGGUUUCUGGUCAAGAAGCAAAAGCAAAAUCGCCCCAUUCCUCCGUGGAUUCGGAUAAAAACUGGUAACAAAAUCAGGUACAACUCCAAGAGAAGACACUGGAGGAGAACCAAGCUGGGUCUGUAAGGAAUUGCUUCAGAUGCCCACACAUUUAUGCUCUACCAUGAACCAGCCAAGCUGAAACGUCAAUACUGCCUGGACUGACAGUUGGGCAUUUUUAAAAUUGAUUUUUCUUUGGUUAUUUUAAUAAUGGGCACAGUAAUAAACAUGUAAUAAACAUCACAUUUGA
Molecule: RNA transcript, 487 nt
Organism: Dipodomys ordii (Ord's kangaroo rat)
Lineage: Eukaryota; Metazoa; Chordata; Mammalia; Rodentia; Heteromyidae
Gene name: 60S ribosomal protein L39 pseudogene
Exons: 1
Source: RefSeq, a predicted model, not a curated record